Molecule: ribosomal RNA, 253 nt
Filed under: uncultured bacterium
Lineage: Bacteria
Description: partial 16S ribosomal RNA
Rfam family: Bacterial small subunit ribosomal RNA
Source: RNAcentral
UACGUAGGGUGCGAGCGUUGUCCGGAAUUAUUGGGCGUAAAGGGCUCGUAGGCGGUUUGUCGCGUCGGGAGUGAAAACCCAGGGCUUAACUCUGGGCCGGCUUUCGAUACGGGCAGACUAGAGGCAUGCAGGGGAGAACGGAAUUCCUGGUGUAGCGGUGAAAUGCGCAGAUAUCAGGAGGAACACCGGUGGCGAAGGCGGUUCUCUGGGCAUGUCCUGAUGCUGAGGAGCGAAAGUGUGGGGAGCGAACAGG